GACUCUAGGGUGGGCUUGGCUUCUCGGCCUCGGUGCUCAAGUACGCAAACAAGAUUUGAAUUUGAAAACACUGAGCCUGGGCCCGGCGGAAGGUACCCGCAGCGGAUUCCGACCUACGGAAGCCCGGGAGGACCAAGCUUCCGGAGGCCGCCGAAAGUGUGCCGGGCAGGGGUGCGAGGCUGUGGGGUGCCUCCUGGUUCCCUUUGAUCUUGGCGGACGGAGCCUCCCCUGGCUCCCCUGUGUCCAAACUUCGUAGUCUCCGGCUUCUUCCCUGCUCCAGGAAUCGCCCAGCUAGACUUGAAAGGGUCCAAGGCAGCCGCAGGACCUGCUGUAUCUGCUGCCGAGCCUCGGGCCUGGCCCCUUCCGCUGGGAUGGAUGGGCUUGUGCGGGAGAUAAACCUCUCCGCGCCUGUCUCCUCUUUGGCACCGCGGGGGUUACACCUGCCCAUACCUGGAUCUGUUGUGAGGUUUAAGUGGGAAGCACCCGUAUGUGGUGCAUGUUAACCCCCGUCUUCUGAGUCUGGAGAACUAUAACCCCGCCAGGAACAUGGGAGACAAGUUUGUUCUGGCUCAGAAAACUGCGUUUUCCCCUCACUCUUGCGCAUCGACCGAAAAAGACUGUGUCCCCAACUCACGAUUUUUCUCCGUCAGUAGUCCCGUGAAUUACGGUCCUUCCCCUGCCCUACGUGUCAUGUGUUGAGAAGUUUGGGGCUCAAUCAUUGAAACGUUUACUGAGCAUCUGCUGUUCGCAGCAAACUGUUAAGACACCAUGCUCCACACUGGAGAUAAACAUGAGUAAGACAUGACGUUGCACUGGAGGAGCCCUUGGACCAAAGAUGACCUCAGAGACCUACCACCGCCUAGUUUAGGGCUUAUAAAUGUAGAGAAGAGUUCUGUUAAUUCAGUCAACAUUUUCCAAGCCGCUGUACCUGCUAAAGUGCUGAGGACAGAGACUCCUCAAGAACCAGGGUUCAUCAGCUCAAAGCCACCUGGGGUCUUUGCCCUCCCGUCUUCUCUCUCUUCAAACAGGGGGUUUGAAGCCUUGUCAACAGGAAGUGAAUUCCUCGUAUCACAUACAGUCUUCUGUUGAUUGUCUCCUUGCAAAAAGAGAUCCCAGAUUUGGAGCUCAAGAAGCUGGCAACCUGGAAAGCCGACAAAGGAAGCCCCAACAAGAGCGUGACCCUCCUCAGCGAAAGGCCAAGAAAGGAACAGCCCACCGAGACACAACUCCUCCACAGUCCCCACUCUCCUCCAGCUAAACACCUCAGAAGAAGUUCGUGGCUCCCACCCUCAAGGCUGUGAUGAGGGAAGGCGUCAAAGAAGGCCGAGUAGGAAAUCGGGACUUUCACCCAUGCCGGCUGGUAACAAGGCCGUGGCCGCGGUCAGUGGUGACCACGGGGGGAGCCAGAACUCCCACCCUGCCUGCACUAGCAAGGAGUGCCUCCUUCAGGUGCCAGCGGAGGUCAGGUGGGCAGCCUGGUCUUCCCUCCCACCUGCUGUAGUGAGGUCUUGCCCCCGCUUCCCCUGCCAAGUCACGUGAGGAAGAGCCAGUUAAAAGAAGUUGAACUAAGACCCAGAAUCUUCUAACCUGCGAAAAUGUCCAGGUGCCAAGUGAAAACCAUUCAUCAUUCCAAAAUGAAAGUACUUCAGUAAGCAAUUAUGUGUACACUCGGAACAAGAAUAGAAACACUCAGCCAAAAAAAAAAAAAAGAAGACAUAAAGAACCAAAAGGAAAUUUUAGCACUGAAGAAUAUGGUAGCUGAACUGAAAAGCUCAGUGGACGGACAGAACGGAGAGGGGAGAGGAAAGAAUCAGUCAACUGGAAGAUAAAACAAUAGAAAUUACACAGUCUGAGCAAGAGAAAACCAAAAGAAAAAAAAAAAAGAACAUUAAGAAAACUACAGACCAGUAUCCCUCAUGAA
Molecule: long non-coding RNA, 1921 nt
Organism: Neofelis nebulosa (Clouded leopard)
Lineage: Eukaryota; Metazoa; Chordata; Mammalia; Carnivora; Felidae
Exons: 3
Source: RefSeq, a predicted model, not a curated record